GCUUGUGUUGAUCCUCGUAGAACUUUCUGGGUUAUCCUACUGUCCAGCUCUUGCCAUGCAGGGGGUUAUUAAUUGAAUCCCUCGGAUUCCUGGCUGUGUGGAAUGGUGCCCAUCCAUGAGAGGAUAGCUGCUGAAGAUGCUCCUGUCUUUUCAGACAAACCGAAGCAAUAUAUCUGGCUAGUCAUGGAGGCAGCAGACAUGUGAUGGCUUUGGUUUCUGCCUUCUCACUGGCUCCUGAGAAAGUUCCAUCUCCUGUGAAUUUUCUGGGCUCAGAGGACCUGUGUACGUGAACCAUGGAAAGGAAGAAGGAAAAGUGACAUAAACAAAAAUGACAAUUUGUCUUGUCUUGAACUAGACUGGGGAAACUGUAUAUACACAUAUAUGUGGAUGACUGGAAGCCUGCCUAAUGCCAGAAGUUUGGCUAUGAUGCUCAAAACCAGAAUUUUCAGAGUGUUUUGCUAUCCGUGAACAUGUUAGAAGAAAAUUUUUGAAACUGUGAGUAUGUUGAAUACACGAAGGGAGAUUUAAGUAUUUAUUAUGUGAUUAAAAAAACUUUAUGCCACAGUAAAUGUUUUAUUAGGACUUCAUGAUUUUAUUCCAAUUCUCCGA
Molecule: non-coding RNA, 609 nt
Organism: Phasianus colchicus (ring-necked pheasant)
Lineage: Eukaryota; Metazoa; Chordata; Aves; Galliformes; Phasianidae
Source: RefSeq, a predicted model, not a curated record